RNAcentral lists this ribosomal RNA (192 nucleotides) under Triticum aestivum (bread wheat). RNAcentral describes it as "partial small subunit ribosomal RNA". Lineage: Eukaryota; Viridiplantae; Streptophyta; Magnoliopsida; Poales; Poaceae. The record is from RNAcentral.
AUGGAGGGUCUUCUGCAUUGGGACUUUGCCCCUGGCCUUGCCCUUGCGGAUCAGGUGAGGAGAAAAUUUGGUUCUACGGUUCAUUUCUCUCCCUCCCGUGACGCCAAAGAAUUCUUUUUGGUGGUCACGUUUUCAUCGGCCUCCUUUCCUCUCAUGAUUGAUUCUGUUGGGGUUGCCCUCCAAUGUUGUCUU